This 329-nucleotide ribosomal RNA is filed under the name Xenodon dorbignyi. Its description in RNAcentral is "partial 16S ribosomal RNA". It matches the Rfam family "Bacterial large subunit ribosomal RNA", at positions 2009 to 2550 of the family's 2925-position model. Lineage: Eukaryota; Metazoa; Chordata; Lepidosauria; Squamata; Dipsadidae. The record is from RNAcentral.
GGUUUAACUGUCUCUUAUAGUUAAUCAAUUAAACUGAUCUACCAGUAAAAAAGCUGGAAUACACACACAAGACCAGAAGACCCUGUGAAGCUUAAACUAAACUAUUAAAAUUAUAUAAUAACUACUUUCGGUUGGGGCGACCUUGGAAAAUAAAAGAACUUCCAAACACAAUGAUUACCUACAUCACCCUCCUAGGCCAACAAGCCACAUAUGACCCAGCACAGCUGAUAAUUGAACCAAGUUACUCCAGGGAUAACAGCGCCAUCUUCUUCAAGAGUCCAUAUCAAAAAGAAGGUUUACGACCUCGAUGUUGGAUCAGGACAUCCUAA